UAUCUCUCCUAUUAUCAACAUUUUUUGUGUUGGUAUAGGGAAUUGGGGUCUUAUCGUCAAGCUUUCUUCAAACCUUGGUGAACCCUUGAAAUACAGUAAGCUCCCAUCAUUUGGAAAUACGCAAACUUGGGGAUGGCGUCGUAGCUAAUCUUAACUGAUUUUAGUCGAAGCGCCUAUACGUACCUCUAACCGCGGUGUUAAUCCUUGCGAUCGGGUGAAGCUUAUCGACUGGGCAAAGCGCCCUGCUCCCUUUACACGGAGUAACCGAACAA
RNAcentral lists this unclassified non-coding RNA (272 nucleotides) under uncultured fungus. RNAcentral describes it as "sequence contains ITS2". Lineage: Eukaryota; Fungi. The record is from RNAcentral.